GGUUAAGCGACUAAGCGUACACGGUGGAUGCCCUGGCAGUCAGAGGCGAUGAAGGACGUGCUAAUCUGCGAUAAGCGCCGGUAAGGUGAUAUGAACCGUUAUAACCGGCGAUUUCCGAAUGGGGAAACCCAGUGUGACUCGUCACACUAUCAUUAACUGAAUCCAUAGGUUAAUGAGGCGAACCGGGGGAACUGAAACAUCUAAGUACCCCGAGGAAAAGAAAUCAACCGAGAUUCCCCCAGUAGCGGCGAGCGAACGGGGAGGAGCCCAGAGCCUGAAUCAGCAUGUGUGUUAGUGGAAGCGUCUGGAAAGGCGCGCGAUACAGGGUGACAGCCCCGUACACAAAAGCGCAUGUGCUGUGAGCUCGAUGAGUAGGGCGGGACACGUGGUAUCCUGUCUGAAUAUGGGGGGACCAUCCUCCAAGGCUAAAUACUCCUGACUGACCGAUAGUGAACCAGUACCGUGAGGGAAAGGCGAAAAGAACCCCGGCGAGGGGAGUGAAAAAGAACCUGAAACCGUGUACGUACAAGCAGUGGGAGCACCCUUUGG
This 549-nucleotide ribosomal RNA is filed under the name Salmonella enterica subsp. enterica serovar Heidelberg. Its description in RNAcentral is "partial 23S ribosomal RNA". It matches the Rfam family "Bacterial large subunit ribosomal RNA", at positions 1 to 591 of the family's 2925-position model. RNAcentral also lists the same sequence under 1 other name. The record is from RNAcentral. Lineage: Bacteria; Pseudomonadati; Pseudomonadota; Gammaproteobacteria; Enterobacterales; Enterobacteriaceae.